UUUCAAUCGGUGUACGGCACAGGAAAAUUUGAGUUUCCAGGAUAAAAAUUGAAAA
Molecule: transfer RNA, 55 nt
Filed under: Pyramidella dolabrata (giant Atlantic pyram)
Lineage: Eukaryota; Metazoa; Mollusca; Gastropoda; Pyramidellidae
Description: tRNA-Gln
Source: RNAcentral